CAGAAGAUUCUUCGAGCCUAUGACAUUCAGGAAGAACAAGACAUCCAUGUGAGACGCAUCUUGUCUCUCCGUGCACUUUCCAUCUACCUACGAGAAGAUGACUCGGACCUCUUUAAAAGCUGCAAUCAAGACGGAGAACCAGAUGUCUCUGAGUGUCCUCUUGCUCUCCUCACUGCUUCUGAAGACAUAUUCACACCUGGCGAUGUCUCUGUUGUUGUUGAAGGGAACAUUGUUAUGAGUGAAAUUCCAAAAAUGCUUGAUGCAUUCUUACUGUUGUUUGGCCUGAUUUAUGUGUUCAAUAUCGAGUAUCCAAAAAAGCUUGAAAACACGUUUACCUUUAUCCAGAAGAUUAUGGUUUGCCUUGAUGAUCAAACGGCUCUGAAGCCAUGCCUGCU
Long non-coding RNA from Trichomycterus rosablanca, 395 nucleotides. RefSeq lists it as uncharacterized. The transcript has 3 exons. The record is from RefSeq and is a predicted model, not a curated record. NCBI's taxonomy places the organism in Eukaryota, Metazoa, Chordata, Actinopteri, Siluriformes, Trichomycteridae.